UAGGAAAAAUACGAGUGCUAAAUCUACGAAACAAAAAUUAGAGAACAUUAGUAAGAGGCACUAGUACAUGUUGGGAGCAAGUCGCACCAGCGAUUUCUAUCCCUGUUCUCUUCUAAGUUACCAUGUGAUGUUAUCCUUCAAAAACUAUCCACUAAACACUAACCCACCAUGACUAAGAAUAAGUUUGAAUAUGAAUGUUGUAAUUUUUUGAAUGUGCAUCAGUAUAACCUAUUCCAGUACUAUACAGUAUGCAUACAUGGUAGUCUUUUGAAAUCAUGAAUGCCACUACACGUACUGAAACCCAUCAGCUGGACUCAUCUAGUAUCUGUGUGUAGUGAGAAAGGAGUUUCACAUAAUUAUUUAGAGUGCAAUUUCCCACAUCUGUUUCAAGGAAUCUAGCCACUAAGCUAUCGCUUUGCUUUCUCUUUUUCAACAGUUGUCAAAUCAAUCAUCUGCUUCGGAAACUAAAAAGUUUUGCAAGUUUUGCAGUCAUGGUCCAAUAUUCCUUUGCAGCAAGAAAGGAGAAAGAAACUGUUAAAACCAAAUACUUGUGUGCUUUAAUUUUUCCUUGAAUCAAUAUCGUAGCCAUCACUAGUGCGGAACAUGUCUGCAAGGAAAUAUUACUUCAAAACAUUGUAGACUACCUCAGUCUUCAUUAUUUCAAAGACAAAGUUAUUAUAAAAGAUUAGGAGUAAAGAUGCAUGUAAUCUAAG
Molecule: long non-coding RNA, 713 nt
Filed under: Panax ginseng (ginseng)
Lineage: Eukaryota; Viridiplantae; Streptophyta; Magnoliopsida; Apiales; Araliaceae
Description: long non-coding RNA (PGIN_LNC008017)
Source: RNAcentral